AUUGAACGCUGGCGGCAGGCCUAACACAUGCAAGUCGAGCGGUAGCACAGGAGCUUGCUCCUGGGUGACGAGCGGCGGACGGGUGAGUAAUGUCUGGGGAUCUGCCUGAUGGAGGGGGAUAACUACUGGAAACGGUAGCUAAUACCGCAUAAUGUCGCAAGACCAAAGAGGGGGACCUUCGGGCCUCUUGCCAUCAGAUGAACCCAGAUGGGAUUAGCUAGUAGGUGGGGUAAUGGCUCACCUAGGCGACGAUCCCUAGCUGGUCUGAGAGGAUGACCAGCCACACUGGAACUGAGACACGGUCCAGACUCCUACGGGAGGCAGCAGUGGGGAAUAUUGCACAAUGGGCGCAAGCCUGAUGCAGCCAUGCCGCGUGUAUGAAGAAGGCCUUCGGGUUGUAAAGUACUUUCAGCGAGGAGGAAGGCAUUAAGGUUAAUAACCUUAGUGAUUGACGUUACUCGCAGAAGAAGCACCGGCUAACUCCGUGCCAGCAGCCGCCGUAA
RNAcentral lists this ribosomal RNA (503 nucleotides) under uncultured bacterium. RNAcentral describes it as "partial 16S ribosomal RNA". It matches the Rfam family "Bacterial small subunit ribosomal RNA", at positions 30 to 523 of the family's 1533-position model. The record is from RNAcentral.